GAUCAAGUGAAUAAGUGCAUAUGAUGGAUGCCUUGGCGAUUACAGGCGAUGAAAGACGUGGUAGCCUGCGAAAAGCGGCGGGGAGCUGGCAAACAAGCUUUGAUCCGCUGAUGUCUGAAUGGGGAAACCCACCGUAGCAAUACGGUAUCUCACACUGAAUACAUAGGUGUGUAGAGGCAAACCGAGUGAACUGAACCAUCUCAGUAACUCGAGGAAAAGAAAUCAACCGAGAUUCCGGAAGUAGUGGCGAGCGAAACCGGAGCAGCCUGGACGUUUUAGCAAUAUAGAUAGUCGAAGGAGAUGGAAAGCUCCGCCGCAGCAGGUGAUAGCCCUGUAGGCGAAAUCUUUAUUGUGGAACUAAGCGUCGAACAAGUAGGGCGGGACACGUGAAAUCCUGUCUGAAUAUGGGGGGACCAUCCUCCAAGGCUAAAUACUCGUAAUCGACCGAUAGUGAACCAGUACCGUGAGGGAAAGGCGAAAAGAACCCCGGAAGGGGAGUGAAAUAGAUCCUGAAAUCAUAUGCAUACAAACAGUAGGAGCACCUUCGUGGUGUGACUGCGUACCUUUUGUAUAAUGGGUCAGCGACUUACAUUCAGUGGCAAGCUUAACCGAAUAGGGGAGGCGUAGCGAAAGCGAGUCCGAAUAGGGCGAUUCAGUCGCUGGGUGUAGACCCGAAACCAGGCGAUCUAUCCAUGGCCAGGUUGAAGGCACGGUAACACGUGCUGGAGGACCGAACCCACUAAUGUUGAAAAAUUAGGGGAUGAGCUGUGGAUUGGAGUGAAAGGCUAAACAAGCCUGGAGAUAGCUGGUUCUCUCCGAAAACUAUUUAGGUAGUGCCUCACGUAUUACUGUCGGGGGUAGAGCACUGUUAUGGCUAGGGGGUCACAGCGACUUACCAAACCAUGGCAAACUCCGAAUACCGACAAGUACAGCGUGGGAGACAGAGCACCGGGUGCUAACGUCCGGACUCAAGAGGGAAACAACCCAGACCGCCAGCUAAGGUCCCUAACUAUGGCUAAGUGGGAAACGAAGUGGGAAGGCAUAGACAGUCAGGAGGUUGGCUUAGAAGCAGCCACCCUUUAAAGAAAGCGUAAUAGCUCACUGAUCGAGUCGUCCUGCGCGGAAGAUGUAACGGGGCUAAGCCAUAGACCGAAGCUGCGGAUAUGUGCGCUCUUUUAAGCGUACUAAUAUCACCACGCCUUAGGCAAACCGCUAGGUUUAACCAAGCGUGUUCCCUUGAUUGUGGGAAGUAAUUAGUAUAUUUAAAUGAGCGCACAUAUGGUAGGAGAGCGUUCCGUAAGCCUGUGAAGGUGUCCUGUAAGGGAUGCUGGAGGUAUCGGAAGUGAGAAUGCUGACAUGAGUAGCGAUAAAGGGGGUGAAAAGCCCCCUCGCCGUAAGUCCAAGGUUUCCUGCGCAACGUUCAUCGGCGCAGGGUGAGUCGGCCCCUAAGGCGAGGCAGAGAUGCGUAGCUGAUGGGAAGCGGGUUAAUAUUCCCGCACCGUCGUACAGUGCGAUGGGGGGACGGAUUGCGGAAGGUUUACGGGGUGUUGGAUGUCCCCGGUGGCGCGUCGUAGAAGGCACUUAGGCAAAUCCGGGUGCGUAAUUCAAGGGCGUGACUGAAUAGAACUACGGUUCUAAACUAACUGAAAGCAGUUCCAAGAAAAGCCUCUAAGCUUCAGCUGUACGAGACCGUACCGCAAACCGACACAGGUGGACGGGAUGAAUAUUCCAAGGCGCUUGAGAGAACUCAGGAGAAGGAACUCGGCAAAUUAAUACCGUAACUUCGGGAGAAGGUAUGCCCCGGUAGUGUGAAGAGCCUGCGCUCGGAGCACGAAAGGGCCGCAGUGAAUCGGUGGCUGCGACUGUUUAUUAAAAACAUAGCACUCUGCAAACACGAAAGUGGACGUAUAGGGUGUGACGCCUGCCCGGUGCCGGAAGGUUAAGUGAUGGGGUGCAAGCUCUUGAUCGAAGCCCCGGUAAACGGCGGCCGUAACUAUAACGGUCCUAAGGUAGCGAAAUUCCUUGUCGGGUAAGUUCCGACCUGCACGAAUGGCGUAACGAUGGCCACACUGUCUCCUCCUGAGACUCAGCGAAGUUGACAUGGUUGUGAUGAUGCAAUCUCCCCGCGGCUAGACGGAAAGACCCCAUGAACCUUUACUGUAGCUUUGCAUUGGAUUGUGAACCGGCCUGUGUAGGAUAGGUGGGAGACGUUGAAGCGUGGUCGCCAGAUCGCGUGGAGUCAUCCUUGAAAUACCACCCUGGUCUGUUUGCGAUUCUAACCUAGGUCCAUUAUCUGGAUCGGGGACCGUGCAUGGUGGGCAGUUUGACUGGGGCGGUCUCCUCCUAAAGUGUAACGGAGGAGUUCGAAGGUACGCUAGGAACGGUCGGAAAUCGUUCUGAUAGUGCAAUGGCAAAAGCGUGCUUAACUGUGAGACUGACAAGUCGAACAGAUACGAAAGUAGGACAUAGUGAUCCGGUGGUUCUGUAUGGAAGGGCCAUCGCUCAACGGAUAAAAGGUACUCUGGGGAUAACAGGCUGAUACCGCCCAAGAGUUCAUAUCGACGGCGGUGUUUGGCACCUCGAUGUCGACUCAUCUCAUCCUGGGGCUGUAGCCGGUCCCAAGGGUAUGGCUGUUCGCCAUUUAAAGAGGUACGUGAGUUGGGUUUAAAACGUCGUGAGACAGUUUGGUCCCUAUCUGCCGUGGGCGUUGGAUAUUUGACGGAGCCUGCUCCUAGUACGAGAGGACCGGAGUGGACGUACCGCUGGUGUAUCGGUUGUCAUGCCAAUGGCAUUGCCGAGUAGCUACGUACGGAAGAGAUAACCGCUGAAGGCAUCUAAGCGGGAAACUCGUCUGAAGAUUAGAUAUCCCGGGGGCUUGACCCCCCUGUAGGGUCGUCCGAGACCAGGACGUUGAUAGGCUGGGUGUGGAAGUGCAGUAAUGCACGUAGCUAACCAGUACUAAUUGCCCGUGAGGCUUGAUCCU
Molecule: ribosomal RNA, 2983 nt
Filed under: Alcaligenes endophyticus
Lineage: Bacteria; Pseudomonadati; Pseudomonadota; Betaproteobacteria; Burkholderiales; Alcaligenaceae
Description: 23S ribosomal RNA
Rfam family: Bacterial large subunit ribosomal RNA
Source: RNAcentral